GAAAGCGAGUAAGGGUACACAGUGGAUGCCUAGGCGUCUCGUGCCGAGGAAGGACGUGUUAUACUGCGAAAAGCUUCGAUGAGGUGUAUAAGACCGUGAUAGUCGAAGAUAUCCGAAUGGGGAAACCCGGCGGGGUUCAAGCCCCGUCAUCCCGAUAAUACGGGAGGGGAACCGUCCGAACUGAAACAUCUAAGUAGGACGAGGAGAAGAGAGGAUUCCGCGAGUAGUGGCGAGCGAAAGCGGAGUAGCCCAAACCAUAUGCUACGGCGUAUGGGGUUGUAGGACUGGCGGUAGCGGCGCAAGCGUAAGACGAAGGGUCUGGGAAGGCCUGCCGUAGAGGGUGAGAGUCCCGUAGUCGUAAGCGAGCGUCGUGGUCAGUAUCCUGAGUAGCGCGAUACACGCUAACAUUGUGUGAAGCAGGGGGGUCCACCCUCCAAGGCUAAAUACGCGAGAUGACCGAUAGCGCAGCAGUACCGUGAGGGAAAGGUGAAAAGAACCCCGGCGAGGGGAGUGAAAGAGAAUCUGAAACUGUGUACUUACAACCGGUCGGAGGGGCGAGAGAUCGCCUUGACGGCGUGCCUUUAGGAGAAUGAGCCAGCGAGUUAAUGUGCGUGGCGAGCUUAAGGCGUUAAUAGCCGUAGGCGCAGGGAAACCGAGUCUGAAGAGGGCGAUUAAGUGGCGCAUAUUAGACACGAAACCAGGCGAGCUAACCAUGGCCAGGGUGAAGUUACGGUAACACGUAAUGGAAGUCCGGACCCACCGAUGUUACAAAAUCGGGGGAGGAGUUGUGGUUAGAGGUGAAAUGCCAAACGAGCCUGGAGAUAGCUUGUUCUCCCCGAAAUAGCUUUAGGGCUAGCGUUGUGAGAUGGGUGCCGGAGGUAGAGCACUGUAUGGGCUAGGGGGCGUCAAGCUUACUGAACCCAAACAAACUCCGAAUGCCGGUAUGCCGAUCACGGCAGUUGGACUGCUUGAGAUGAGUUAAGUAGUCAAGAGGGAAAGAGCCCGGACCCUCGUCUAAGGUCCCGGAAUGUAUGCUAAGUGUAAAACGAGGUGAGUGUGUUGAGACAGCUAGUAGGUUGGCUUAGAAGCAGCCACCCUUUAAAGAGUGCGUAACAGCUCCCUAGUCAAACGCAUUUGCGCGGAUAAUGUAACGGGUCUAAAGCAUACUACCGAAGACAGGGAUAGUUUCCGCACUAGCGGGAGUUAUGGUAGGGGAGCGUUCUGCGAGCGGGGAAGGUGUUCUGUGAGGGGCAUUGGAGUUUGCAGGAGUGCGAAUGCUGGCAUGAGUAGCGAGAAAUAGGUGAGAACCCUAUUCGCCGGAAGUCUAAGGUUUCCGACGGAAGGCCAGUCCGCGUCGGGUUAGUCGGUCCUAAGCCGAGGCUGAGAAGCGUAGGCGAUGGAUAACGGGUUAAUAUUCCCGUACCGGUAUGUGGAGUGUUUGCAGAAGCUUGUGGUAGAGUCAGCCUCUGAGUGGAUUGAGGUGGCAAGCGGGGCGAUCCCGUGAAGCCGUGCUUUCGGGCAAGAAGUGACAGUAUCCAUGGGACGAGAAAAGCUGCGAAGAUGAUGAAGCAUGCCGUCCGUACCGCAAACCGACACAGGUAGACGAGUAGAGAAUACGAAGGCGAACGGGAGAACCUCUGCUAAGGAACUAGGCAAAAUGGAUCCGUAACUUCGGGAGAAGGAUCGCCUGGUAGGGAUAUCAGGUUGCAGUGAAAAGGCUCUGCCGACUGUUUAACAAAAACACAGGUCUCUGCGAAAGCGCAAGCUGAAGUAUAGG
RNAcentral lists this ribosomal RNA (1777 nucleotides) under Gemmatimonadota bacterium. RNAcentral describes it as "Gemmatimonadetes bacterium partial 23S ribosomal RNA". It matches the Rfam family "Bacterial large subunit ribosomal RNA", at positions 1 to 1849 of the family's 2925-position model. Lineage: Bacteria; Pseudomonadati; Gemmatimonadota. The record is from RNAcentral.